RNAcentral lists this ribosomal RNA (273 nucleotides) under uncultured bacterium. RNAcentral's name for it is "partial 16S ribosomal RNA". It matches the Rfam family "Bacterial small subunit ribosomal RNA", at positions 85 to 354 of the family's 1533-position model. The record is from RNAcentral.
CCGCCGGCGACCGGCGCACGGGUGAGUAACACGUAUGCAACCUGGCCGUGACAGAUGGAUAACCGGGAGAAAUCCCGCCUAAUACAACAUAAUGCCGGGAGGGGACAUCCCCUGCCGGCCAAAGGGGGCGACCCCGGUCACGGAUGGGCAUGCGGCGCAUUAGGUAGUUGGUGGGGCAACGGCCCACCAAGCCGACGAUGCGUAGGGGUUCUGAGAGGAAGGUCCCCCACAUUGGAACUGAGACACGGUCCAAACUCCUACGGGAGGCAGCAG